Molecule: ribosomal RNA, 497 nt
Filed under: uncultured bacterium
Lineage: Bacteria
Description: partial 16S ribosomal RNA
Rfam family: Bacterial small subunit ribosomal RNA
Source: RNAcentral
GACGAACGCUGGCGGCGUGCCUAAUACAUGCAAGUAGAACGCUGAAGAGAGGAGCUUCCUCUUCUUGGAUGAGUUGCGAACGGGUGAGUAACGCGUAGGUAACCUGCCUUGUAGCGGGGGAUAACUAUUGGAAACGAUAGCUAAUACCGCAUAACAAUGGAUGACACAUGUCAUUUAUUUGAAAGGGGCAAUUGCUCCACUACAAGAUGGACCUGCGUUGUAUUAGCUAGUAGGUGAGGUAAUGGCUCACCUAGGCGACGAUACAUAGCCGACCUGAGAGGGUGAUCGGCCACACUGGGACUGAGACACGGCCCAGACUCCUACGGGAGGCAGCAGUAGGGAAUCUUCGGCAAUGGGGGCAACCCUGACCGAGCAACGCCGCGUGAGUGAAGAAGGUUUUCGGAUCGUAAAGCUCUGUUGUAAGCCAAGAACGGGUGUGAGAGUGGAAAGUUCACACUGUGACGGUAGCUUACCAGAAAGGGACGGCUAACUACGUG